Molecule: long non-coding RNA, 109 nt
Organism: Mercenaria mercenaria
Lineage: Eukaryota; Metazoa; Mollusca; Bivalvia; Venerida; Veneridae
Exons: 2
Source: RefSeq, a predicted model, not a curated record
UCGUCAACAAUUUGACUGUUAACACUCUAGAGGUCACAAUUUUGGCCCAAUCUUAAUGAAACUUGGUCAGAAUGUUACCCUCAAUAAAAUCUUGGACGAGUUCGAUAUU